This 253-nucleotide ribosomal RNA is filed under the name uncultured bacterium. RNAcentral's name for it is "partial 16S ribosomal RNA". It matches the Rfam family "Bacterial small subunit ribosomal RNA", at positions 524 to 776 of the family's 1533-position model. The record is from RNAcentral.
UACAGAGGUCUCAAGCGUUGUUCGGAUUCAUUGGGCGUAAAGGGUGCGUAGGUGGCGUGGUAAGUCAGGUGUGAAAUCUCGGGGCUCAACCCCGAAACUGCACUUGAUACUGCCUUGCUCGAGUACUGGAGAGGAGAUUGGAAUUUACGGUGUAGCAGUGAAAUGCGUAGAUAUCGUAAGGAAGACCAGUGGCGAAGGCGAAUCUCUGGACAGUUACUGACACUGAGGCACGAAGGCCAGGGGAGCAAACGGG